Molecule: non-coding RNA, 101 nt
Organism: Triticum urartu
Lineage: Eukaryota; Viridiplantae; Streptophyta; Magnoliopsida; Poales; Poaceae
Source: Rfam
AUUUGGCUGAGGAGAUGAUGAACAUCAGAGGCUGUUUCUGAGGAUGAGCCUAGAGCUCUUCAUAUGCUGCAAAAUAACUGAUUUACCUAUCUGAUCCAAAG